UACAGAGGUCUCAAGCGUUGUUCGGAAUCACUGGGCUUAAAGGGCGCGUAGGUGGUUUGCCAAGUCGGGGUUGAAAUCUUUCGGCUCAACCGGAAAAGUGGCUUCGAUACUGGCAAGCUGGAGGGAGGUAGGGGCGGAUGGAACUUCCGGUGGAGCGGUGAAAUGUGUUGAUAUCGGAAGGAACGCCGGUGGCGAAAGCGAUCCGCUGGACCUCUUCUGACACUGGAGGCGCGAAAGCCAGGGAGCAAACGGG
This 253-nucleotide ribosomal RNA is filed under the name uncultured bacterium. RNAcentral's name for it is "partial 16S ribosomal RNA". It matches the Rfam family "Bacterial small subunit ribosomal RNA", at positions 524 to 776 of the family's 1533-position model. The record is from RNAcentral.